Molecule: ribosomal RNA, 490 nt
Filed under: uncultured eukaryote
Lineage: Eukaryota
Description: bacterial SSU rRNA
Rfam family: Eukaryotic small subunit ribosomal RNA
Source: RNAcentral
GCAUGGAAUAAUGAUUAAAUAAAAGAUAAAGUGAUAAUUUUAUUGUUAUAUUUUUAUGAUACAAUAAAAUAAAAUCAAUUGAUUGAAUAGGAACAGUCGGGGAUAUUCGUACUUAUAAGUCAGAGGUGAAAUUCUUGGAUUUUCUAAAGACGAACGAUUGCGAAAGCAUUUAUCAAGGAUGUUUUCAUUAAUCAAGAACGAAAGUUUGGGGAUCGAAGAUGAUUAGAUACCAUCGUAGUCUAAACCAUAAACAAUGCCGAUUCGAGGGUGGUGUGUAGUGUAAAUGUGUGUUUGUAUAUGCUAGUAAAAUAGUAUGUACAUACACACAUAAUUAUAUUAUCCAUACCACCAUCGUAUGCGAAAGCAAAAUUUUUGGGUUCUGGGGGGAGUAUGGUCGCAAGGCUGAAACUUAAAGGAAUUGACGGAAGGGCACCAUAAGUCGUGGAGCCUGCGGCUCAAUUUGACCCAACUCGGGGAAACUUAGCAGGGC